UGGGGCGUCGCCAAGCGGUAAGGCAACGGUUUUUGGUACCGUCAUGCGGAGGUUCGAAUCCUCCCGCCCCAGCCA
RNAcentral lists this transfer RNA (75 nucleotides) under Sphingomonas sp. RNAcentral describes it as "tRNA-Gln". It matches the Rfam family "tRNA". From Rfam's summary of the family: Transfer RNA (tRNA) molecules are approximately 80 nucleotides in length. Lineage: Bacteria; Pseudomonadati; Pseudomonadota; Alphaproteobacteria; Sphingomonadales; Sphingomonadaceae. RNAcentral also lists the same sequence under 5 other names. The record is from RNAcentral.